Non-coding RNA from Thrips palmi, 129 nucleotides. RefSeq annotates it as small Cajal body-specific RNA 8. The record is from RefSeq and is a predicted model, not a curated record. The transcript has a single exon. NCBI's taxonomy places the organism in Eukaryota, Metazoa, Arthropoda, Insecta, Thysanoptera, Thripidae.
UGGGAGAAGAUACGUGAGGUAUCUUUCAAACACAGGAUUCUCACCACUAACACUCCCUACAAAAUAAGGCUCUCUGAUGACUGUAGUUCUUAAAGGUACUGACUGCAGACAGAUACGGAGCCAACACCU